This 504-nucleotide long non-coding RNA is filed under the name Prunus persica (peach). RNAcentral describes it as "long non-coding RNA (PPER_LNC002211)". Lineage: Eukaryota; Viridiplantae; Streptophyta; Magnoliopsida; Rosales; Rosaceae. The record is from RNAcentral.
ACUGAACCUGCUGUGUAUACAGGUACGAAAGUUGAACCUUGUGUAUUUGGAGAUCUGGUCCCGCCGUUAUUUCCAUUCUCACCAAUACUAGUUGAUCUGCCCUUUGCACUUCCAUGACUGUAUCCAUGUUCAAGUUUGCCGCUAUGUGCUAUUCUGCUUCUGCUAUUAUCACUAUCAUCAUCACUACCAUUGCUUCCAUGUCCAUUUGCACCUUCAUCUUCUGUGGUGGUUUCCUGCAUAAAUUCUGCAACGAAUUCUUUUAGAAGUUAACCAGUACCGAAACUUGUUUAACAAGGUCACAGAUUUCUUUUUGCCAUUAGGAAAUCAGAAAACUUCUGUAUAUAAAUUUUUAUUUUUUAUACUUUUUUUUUAUCUGGCAUUGGGGGUGGUUGAAUUAUUGUCAAAUAGAGCGACUUUCUUUUUGGUCCAAAAACUUGUAGAGGAAGAAGAAUUUGAAAAGAUUGUAAUGGUAAUAGACUCGAUUGUCAAUUCUGUUUCAAAUCG